UUCGCUGACGAGUGGCGGAAGGGUGAGUAAUGUCUGGGAAGCUGCCUGAUGGAGGGGGAUAACUACUGGAAACGGUAGCUAAUACCGCAUAAUGUCGCAAGACCAAAGAGGGGGACCUUCGGGCCUCUUGCCAUCGGAUGUGCCCAGAUGGGAUUAGCUUGUUGGUGGGGUAACGGCUCACCAAGGCGACGAUCCCUAGCUGGUCUGAGAGGAUGACCAGCCACACUGGAACUGAGACACGGUCCAGACUCCUACGGGAGGCAGCAGUGGGGAAUAUUGCACAAUGGGCGCAAGCCUGAUGCAGCCAUGCCGCGUGUAUGAAGAAGGCCUUCGGGUUGUAAAGUACUUUCAGCGGGGAGGAAGGGAGUAAAGUUAAUACCUUUGCUCAUUGACGUUACCCGCAGAAGAAGCACCGGCUAACUCCGUGCCAGCAGCCGCGGUAAUACGGAGGGUGCAAGCGUUAAUCGGAAUUACUUGGCGUAAAGCGCACGCAGGCGGUUUGUUAAGUCAGAUGUGAAAUCCCCGGGCUCAACCUGGGAACUGCAUCUGAUACUGGCAAGCUUGAGUCUCGUAGAGGGGGGUAGAAUUCCAGGUGUAGCGGUGAAAUGCGUAGAGAUCUGGAGGAAUACCGGUGGCGAAGGCGGCCCCCUGGACGAAGACUGACGCUCAGGUGCGAAAGCGUGGGGAGCAAACAGGAUUAGAUACCCUGGUAGUCCACGCCGUAAACGAUGUCGACUUGGAGGUUGUGCCCUUGAGGCGUGGCUUCCGGAGCUAACGCGUUAAGUCGACCGCCUGGGGAGUACGGCCGCAAGGUUAAAACUCAAAUGAAUUGACGGGGGCCCGCACAAGCGGUGGAGCAUGUGGUUUAAUUCGAUGCAACGCGAAGAACCUUACCUGGUCUUGACAUCCACGGAAGUUUUCAGAGAUGAGAAUGUGCCUUCGGGAACCGUGAGACAGGUGCUGCAUGGCUGUCGUCAGCUCGUGUUGUGAAAUGUUGGGUUAAGUCCCGCAACGAGCGCAACCCUUAUCCUUUGUUGCCAGCGGUCCGGCCGGGAACUCAAAGGAGACUGCCAGUGAUAAACUGGAGGAAGGUGGGGAUGACGUCAAGUCAUCAUGGCCCUUACGACCAGGGCUACACACGUGCUACAAUGGCGCAUACAAAGAGAAGCGACCUCGCGAGAGCAAGCGGACCUCAUAAAGUGCGUCGUAGUCCGGAUUGGAGUCUGCAACUCGACUCCAUGAAGUCGGAAUCGCUAGUAAUCGUGGAUCAGAAUGCCACGGUGAAUACGUUCCCGGGCCUUGUACACACCGCCCGUCACACCAUGGGAGUGGGUUGCAAAAGAAGUAGGUAGCUUAACCUUCGGGAGGGCGCUUACCA
RNAcentral lists this ribosomal RNA (1378 nucleotides) under metagenome. Its description in RNAcentral is "bacterial SSU rRNA". It matches the Rfam family "Bacterial small subunit ribosomal RNA", at positions 84 to 1459 of the family's 1533-position model. The record is from RNAcentral.